GAUGAACGCUGACAGAAUGCUUAACACAUGCAAGUCAUUGGCGAAGCUGCGCUUGCGCAGUCUAGCCAAGGCGGACGGGUGAGUAACGCGUAAGGAACUUGCCCUGCAGACAGGGAUAACAGACGGAAACGACUGAUAACACCUGGUAUUGUCAGGCUGGCGCAUGCCGGCCUGAUGAAAGGAGACGCUGCAGGAGAGCCUUGCGUCCUAUUAGCUAGUUGGUGGGGUAACGGCCCACCAAGGCGAUGAUAGGUAGCCGGCCUGAGAGGGUGAACGGCCACAAGGGGACUGAGAUACGGCCCUUACUCCUACGGGAGGCAGCAGUGGGGAAUAUUGGACAAUGGGGGCAACCCUGAUCCAGUAAUUCUGUGUGCACGAAGAAGGUUUUCGGAUUGUAAAGUGCUUUCAGCAGGGAAGAAGAAAGUGACGGUACCUGCAGAAGAAGCGACGGCUAAAUACGUG
RNAcentral lists this ribosomal RNA (462 nucleotides) under uncultured bacterium. Its description in RNAcentral is "partial 16S ribosomal RNA". It matches the Rfam family "Bacterial small subunit ribosomal RNA", at positions 28 to 507 of the family's 1533-position model. The record is from RNAcentral.